GACGAACGCUGGCGGCGUGCUUAACACAUGCAAGUCGAACGGAAAGGCCCUGCUUUUGUGGGGUGCUCGAGUGGCGAACGGGUGAGUAACACGUGAGUAACCUGCCCUUGACUUUGGGAUAACUUCAGGAAACUGGGGCUAAUACCGGAUAGGAGCUCAUGCUGCAUGGUGGGGGUUGGAAAGUUUCGGCGGUUGGGGAUGGACUCGCGGCUUAUCAGCUUGUUGGUGGGGUAGUGGCUUACCAAGGCUUUGACGGGUAGCCGGCCUGAGAGGGUGACCGGCCACAUUGGGACUGAGAUACGGCCCAGACUCCUACGGUAGGCAGCAGUGGGGAAUAUUGCACAAUGGGCGGAAGCCUGAUGCAGCAACGCCGCGUGCGGGAUGACGGCCUUCGGGUUGUAAACCGCUUUCGCCUGUGACGAAGCGUGAGUGACGGUAAUGGGUAAAGAAGCACCGGCUAACUACGUG
Molecule: ribosomal RNA, 468 nt
Filed under: uncultured bacterium
Lineage: Bacteria
Description: partial 16S ribosomal RNA
Rfam family: Bacterial small subunit ribosomal RNA
Source: RNAcentral